UACGUAGGGCGCAAGCGUUAUCCGGAAUUAUUGGGCGUAAAGAGCUCGUAGGCGGUUUGUCGCGUCUGCCGUGAAAGUCCGGGGCUCAACUCCGGAUCUGCGGUGGGUACGGGCUGGCUAGAGGUAGGUAGGGGAGAACGGAAUUCCUGGUGUAGCGGUGAAAUGCGCAGAUAUCAGGAGGAACACCGAUGGCGAAGGCAGGUCUCUGGGCAUUAACUGACGCUGAGGAGCGAAAGCAUGGGGAGCGAACAGG
This 253-nucleotide ribosomal RNA is filed under the name uncultured bacterium. RNAcentral describes it as "partial 16S ribosomal RNA". It matches the Rfam family "Bacterial small subunit ribosomal RNA", at positions 524 to 776 of the family's 1533-position model. The record is from RNAcentral.